Molecule: ribosomal RNA, 244 nt
Filed under: Mycobacterium tuberculosis
Lineage: Bacteria; Bacillati; Actinomycetota; Actinomycetes; Mycobacteriales; Mycobacteriaceae
Description: partial 16S ribosomal RNA
Rfam family: Bacterial small subunit ribosomal RNA
Source: RNAcentral
AAGUCGGAUGUGAAAUCCCCGGGCUCAACCUGGGAACUGCAUUCGAAACUGGCAGGCUAGAGUCUUGUAGAGGGGGGUAGAAUUCCAGGUGUAGCGGUGAAAUGCGUAGAGAUCUGGAGGAAUACCGGUGGCGAAGGCGGCCCCCUGGACAAAGACUGACGCUCAGGUGCGAAAGCGUGGGGAGCAAACAGGAUUAGAUACCCUGGUAGUCCACGCCGUAAACGAUGUCGAUUUGGAGGUUGUG